This is a long non-coding RNA of Rhododendron vialii, 434 nucleotides long. RefSeq lists it as uncharacterized. The transcript has 2 exons. Lineage: Eukaryota; Viridiplantae; Streptophyta; Magnoliopsida; Ericales; Ericaceae. The record is from RefSeq and is a predicted model, not a curated record.
UUCUUCUCUUUCUUUCUUUCUUUGGAGCUCUCUGCUCCUCUUCCAAAAAAGUCCCCCUCCACUUCUCUCCUCGAUUUCAUCUACUUAAGGCAUGAUACCGGACAAAGCCCAAGAAUUAAAGUUGUUAUACGGAGCGCGCGCAUCCUAUCCAUCCAAGAAAAUUCCCGAUCGGACCACGGGAAGUUUUGGUUGACUUGAUCGAACGGUUGGGAUUUGCUCAAAACCCAUGAGGUACAAAGCAAAGGAGGUUGGCAUGGAGUGCUUAUUGUGCAUGGUUGAUCAUACUUUUCAAAGGUAUACAAGAGGAAGUGUAUUGCAUUUGAUUCGAAAGGAAUAUUUUUGGAAAGAUGUUUAUUGUAAACUGUAUUAUUAUUUCCAUCAGAUAUUGGUGUUUUGAUAACUUGGGGCCGUCGAGCCAAAAUGUAAUAUUUGAG